UGCAUCGGCCGGGAAUCGAACCCGGGCUGCCCGCGUGGCAGCUGUGCAUUCGACCACUAAACCACCGUCGA
Ostertagia ostertagi is the source of this 71-nucleotide non-coding RNA. NCBI's taxonomy places the organism in Eukaryota, Metazoa, Nematoda, Chromadorea, Rhabditida, Trichostrongylidae. The record is from the annotation of a GenBank genome assembly.